RNAcentral lists this ribosomal RNA (301 nucleotides) under uncultured bacterium. RNAcentral's name for it is "partial 16S ribosomal RNA". It matches the Rfam family "Bacterial small subunit ribosomal RNA", at positions 509 to 809 of the family's 1533-position model. The record is from RNAcentral.
CAGUCGCCGCGGGAAUACGAAGGGUGCAAGCGUUAAUCGGAAUUACUGGGCGUAAAGCGUGCGUAGGCGGUGAGUUAAGUCUGCUGUGAAAUCCCCGGGCUCAACCUGGGAAUGGCAGUGGAUACUGGCUCGCUAGAGUGUGUCAGAGGAUGGUGGAAUUCCCGGUGUAGCGGUGAAAUGCGUAGAGAUCGGGAGGAACAUCAGUGGCGAAGGCGGCCAUCUGGGACAACACUGACGCUGAGGCACGAAAGCGUGGGGAGCAAACAGGAUUAGAUACCCCCGUAGUCCCUGUCUCUUAUAA